GGUUAUGAAAUGUUCUUGCCAUUGAUGCCAUCCCAUUCCUUAUUUCUAUGCUGAGAAGAUACUAGUGAAAUACUUUAAAAGUAGCUGUGAUUGAAAACUCAUGAGGUUUUCCAGGCUUAUCUCAAGAAGGUAAGUGAAUAAUUAAAAAUCAAAUCCCUGUACCUCCUAGACUGGGGGGACUGCAAAAUUAUCAGCUCAGGGCUUAGGGGCAAAUUGCAGGAUGUAGCCUCAAAGCAGGAGAUACCCGUGUACUCUGCAAGUACGUGCACAGGAAGGCUCUCAGCAGUCUGCCUGAUGAUCUCUUCUGUUUUGCAGGACUGCAUGUGGGAGUUGUGAGUCCUUGUUCCUUUUUGUUUGUUCUGUUUGGGCUGUGGGAAGCCUUCUAGCCACGGAAUGUGUAUACAAUGUAGAGCUUACUUGAAAAACUUAAAGGACUAAGGUAUGGAAGCUUUAUUCUCUGAUGAAAUGAUUUAGUCAAAAACAUAGUAUGAGAAAUAAUAUGCAGGGUGUAAUGACUUGCUGAAAGCAGAGAGGUUUAGUAAUGCUAGGACAAUUGUAAAAGGAGGAUUAAUAGAUGUCUUGGUUGAAGCUUUUCAAGACAGGCUCAUUAGUAAGCAGACAGGCCAAGUGUCCCUUGGGCAGACAAGACCUAUGCUGCUCUUGGGGAAAAAUAUAAUGAUGCCCACUUCUAUUUCUAGAUUUGCUGGUUGUGUAUUAAACACUUGUUAUGGAAGAAAUGAGCACGGGUGGUUGUUUGAACUGCAGAAAGGGUGAGGAAAUAAAUUGUAUUUACUGUGAGAGAGGCAUCAGCAGCAGGAUUCUGUGCUUGGAAAAUUCUGUGCUGUUGGAAAUCACAAGUAAUGUAAGUGGAGUCAGUGGAGUGUGAAGGAGUACCAACCCAAAAAGUACCAGCUCCUCAUGCCUGUUGUACCUACAGUUGAUAAGGAUAGUGAGGUGCUCGUCUCAAAUGUG
This 972-nucleotide long non-coding RNA is filed under the name Junco hyemalis (dark-eyed junco). RNAcentral's name for it is "lncRNA (ENSJHYG00000016818.1)". Lineage: Eukaryota; Metazoa; Chordata; Aves; Passeriformes; Passerellidae. The record is from RNAcentral.